RNAcentral lists this unclassified non-coding RNA (188 nucleotides) under uncultured Bjerkandera. RNAcentral describes it as "sequence contains ITS2". The record is from RNAcentral. Lineage: Eukaryota; Fungi; Basidiomycota; Agaricomycetes; Polyporales; Phanerochaetaceae.
AAUUCUCAACCUUCAACUUUAUUGAUGAAGGCUUGGACUUGGAGGUCGUGUCGGCUCUUGUUAGUCGACUCCUCUGAAAUGCAUUAGUGCGAACGUUACCAGCCGCUUCAGCGUGAUAAUUAUCUGCGUUGCUGUGGGGGGUAAGUGAGUGUUCACGCUUCUAAUCGUCUUCGGACAACAUUUCUGAA